CCUACGGGAGGCAGCAGUGGGGAAUAUUGCACAAUGGGGGAAACCCUGAUGCAGCGACGCCGCGUGAGUGAAGAAGUAUUUCGGUACGUAAAGCUCUAUCCGCAGGGAAGAAAAAAAGUCCUUUGGACUUUGGACGGUACCUGACCAAGAAGCCCCGGCUAACUACGUGCCAGCAGCAGCGGUAAUACGUAGGGGGCAAGCGUUCUGCGGAUUUACUGGGUGUAAAGGGAGCGUAGACGGCAGCGCAAGUCUGGAGUGAAAUGCCGGGGCCCAACCCCGGAACUGCUUUGGAAACUGUGCAGCUGGAGUGCAGGAGAGGUAAGCGGAAUGCCUAGGGUAGCGGUGAAAUGCGUAGAUAUGAGGAGGAACACCAGUGGCGAAGGCGGCUUACUGGACUGUAACUGACGUUGAGGCUCGAAAGCGUGGGGAGCAAACAGGAUUAGAUACCCUAGUAGUC
This 457-nucleotide ribosomal RNA is filed under the name uncultured bacterium. RNAcentral's name for it is "partial 16S ribosomal RNA". It matches the Rfam family "Bacterial small subunit ribosomal RNA", at positions 338 to 795 of the family's 1533-position model. The record is from RNAcentral.